RNAcentral lists this ribosomal RNA (585 nucleotides) under Meyerozyma guilliermondii. RNAcentral describes it as "eukaryotic LSU rRNA". It matches the Rfam family "Eukaryotic large subunit ribosomal RNA", at positions 40 to 641 of the family's 3401-position model. Lineage: Eukaryota; Fungi; Ascomycota; Pichiomycetes; Serinales; Debaryomycetaceae. The record is from RNAcentral.
AUAUCAAUAAGCGGAGGAAAAGAAACCAACAGGGAUUGCCUUAGUAGCGGCGAGUGAAGCGGCAAAAGCUCAAAUUUGAAAUCUGGCGCCUUCGGUGUCCGAGUUGUAAUUUGAAGAUUGUAACCUUGGGGUUGGCUCUUGUCUAUGUUUCUUGGAACAGGACGUCACAGAGGGUGAGAAUCCCGUGCGAUGAGAUGCCCAAUUCUAUGUAAGGUGCUUUCGAAGAGUCGAGUUGUUUGGGAAUGCAGCUCUAAGUGGGUGGUAAAUUCCAUCUAAAGCUAAAUAUUGGCGAGAGACCGAUAGCGAACAAGUACAGUGAUGGAAAGAUGAAAAGAACUUUGAAAAGAGAGUGAAAAAGUACGUGAAAUUGUUGAAAGGGAAGGGUUUGAGAUCAGACUCGAUAUUUUGUGAGCCUUGCCUUCGUGGCGGGGUGACCCGCAGCUUAUCGGGCCAGCAUCGGUUUGGGCGGUAGGAUAAUGGCGUAGGAAUGUGACUUUACUUCGGUGAAGUGUUAUAGCCUGCGUUGAUGCUGCCUGCCUAGACCGAGGACUGCGAUUUUAUCAAGGAUGCUGGCAUAAUGAUCCC